Molecule: ribosomal RNA, 279 nt
Filed under: uncultured bacterium
Lineage: Bacteria
Description: partial 16S ribosomal RNA
Rfam family: Bacterial small subunit ribosomal RNA
Source: RNAcentral
UGCCAGCAGCCGCGGUAAUACGGAGGGUCCAAGCGUUAUCCGGAUUCAUUGGGUUUAAAGGGUCCGUAGGCGGGAAGAUAAGUCAGUGGUGAAAUCCUGCAGCUCAACUGUAGAACUGCCAUUGAAACUGUCUUUCUUGAAUGUAGAUGAAGUGGGCGGAAUGUGUCAUGUAGCGGUGAAAUGCAUAGAUAUGACACAGAACACCGAUUGCGAAGGCAGCUCACUAAACUAUUAUUGACGCUGAGGGACGAAAGCGUGGGGAGCGAACAGGAUUAGAUA